CGGCGGACGGGUGAGUAACACGUGGGCAACCUACCUAUAAGACUGGGAUAACUUGCGGAAACGUAAGCUAAUACCGGAUAAUUCUUCCAUUCGCAUGAAAGGAAGUUAAAAGAUGGCAUUUGCUAUCACUUAUAGAUGGGCCCGCGGCGCAUUAGCUAGUUGGUGAGGUAAGAGCUCACCAAGGCGACGAUGCGUAGCCGACCUGAGAGGGUGAUCGGCCACACUGGGACUGAGACACGGCCCAGACUCCUACGGGAGGCAGCAGUAGGGAAUCUUCCGCAAUGGACGAAAGUCUGACGGAGCAACGCCGCGUGAGCGAUGAAGGUCUUCGGAUCGUAAAGCUCUGUUAUUAGGGAAGAACAAGUACCGUUUGAAUAAGGCGGUACCUUGACGGUACCUGACUAGAAAGCCACGGCUAACUACGUGCCAGCAGCCGCGGUAAUACGUAGGUGGCAAGCGUUGUCCGGAAUUAUUGGGCGUAAA
This 483-nucleotide ribosomal RNA is filed under the name uncultured bacterium. RNAcentral describes it as "bacterial SSU rRNA". It matches the Rfam family "Bacterial small subunit ribosomal RNA", at positions 96 to 564 of the family's 1533-position model. The record is from RNAcentral.